Molecule: ribosomal RNA, 440 nt
Filed under: uncultured bacterium
Lineage: Bacteria
Description: partial 16S ribosomal RNA
Rfam family: Bacterial small subunit ribosomal RNA
Source: RNAcentral
CCUACGGGUGGCAGCAGUGGGGAAUAUUGCACAAUGGGGGGAACCCUGAUGCAGCGACGCCGCGUGAGUGAUGAAGUAUUUCGGUAUGUAAAGCUCUAUCAGCAGGGAAGAAAAUGACGGUACCUGACUAAGAAGCCCCGGCUAACUACGUGACAGCAGCCGCGGUAAUACGUAGGGGGCAAGCGUUAUCCGGAUUUACUGGGUGUUAAGGGAGCGUAGUGGGUUAUGCAAGUCUGAAGUGAAAGCUCAAGGCUCAACCAUGGGACUGCUGUGGAAACUGUAAAGCUGGAGUGCAGGAGAGGUAAGCGGAAUUCGUAGUGUAGCGGUGAAAUGCGUAGAUAUUACGAGGAACCCCGGUGGCGAAGGCAGCUUACUGGACUGUAACUGACGUUGAGGCUCGAAGGCGUGGGGAGCAAACAGGAUUAGAUACCCGAGUAGUC